Molecule: transfer RNA, 735 nt
Filed under: Leisingera caerulea
Lineage: Bacteria; Pseudomonadati; Pseudomonadota; Alphaproteobacteria; Rhodobacterales; Roseobacteraceae
Description: partial 16S-23S ribosomal RNA intergenic spacer
Rfam family: tRNA (bases 252-325)
Source: RNAcentral
UUCUAAGGAUGAUGCUAGUCAGAUAAGCUUGCUUAUCUCGUGCAUCACUUAGCAACGGACAGCAAACAAAGCUGUCCAAACAUCAGGACCGGACCGUCCUCAUAUCUCUUCAGACAUAUCGGAUCCUGGCAUCUGCCGGGGUUCAGCAAGGGGCCUUAGCUCAGCUGGGAGAGCGCCUGAUUUGCAUUCAGGAGGUCAGGAGUUCGAUCCUCCUAGGCUCCACCACUUAUGCAAACGGCCCGCAACAAUACGGGUCGGUAGCUCAGGUGGUUAGAGCGCACGCCUGAUAAGCGUGAGGUCGGAGGUUCAAGUCCUCCUCGACCCACCACUCCCCGCGGGAGUGGCCGUAUCGGUUAGAUCUUCAAGCGGUUCGCUUAGAACUGUUUGAACGUCCAGCUGGACGACAAAAUUGACAUCGUUAAGAGAGAUACAAUCAACAAUACUGUUGGCCGCCCGAGUGUGGGAUAGGUCUCAGUCAGGUGCUGAUCAUCCUUCGGGAUGUGAGGCGAGCUUCAGAACACGUCAUGUUUCCUCAGACGUCCUGGAGUAUGCCUGGUUGAAAAGACAGUGUUGUCCAAGUCAAGUACACUAACCCGCGCGGUCGCAAGACUGCGCAACAAGUUCCCGGCCACCGACAUGGUUGGGAGCGGGAUAGUUUGCUUUUUGGUUCAGAAUAAAGGCGCCGGUUUCUUACCAGCUUCCGGUGCCGCGACGGUUUGCACUGUCUUUUUCUGG